AAAGUCGUAACAAGGUUUCCGUAGGUGAACCUGCGGAAGGAUCAUUAACAAAUCAGUUAUAUAGCUUCGGCUAUAUAUAUUCACCCUAAGCCUGGGUUUACACCCGGGCUUUGGUUAGGCUAGUGUGCUUCGGCGUACUGGCCACAUAGACGCUUGUAUUGUUUGACAGAUUUUAGUUGAAUCAAAAAAUGACAACUUUUAACAAUGGAUCUCUUGGCUCUU
This 222-nucleotide unclassified non-coding RNA is filed under the name fungal sp. Its description in RNAcentral is "partial contains small subunit ribosomal RNA, internal transcribed spacer 1, and 5.8S ribosomal RNA". The stretch from base 1 to 47 matches the Rfam family "Eukaryotic small subunit ribosomal RNA", at positions 1785 to 1831 of the family's 1831-position model. Lineage: Eukaryota; Fungi. The record is from RNAcentral.